AUCAAAGGUGUCAGGACCGAGGGGACUGUCUGAUUUAGUAAGAUGGGUCACUCAUGGCCAGGCCCAAAGGCCCCGCCUUCUGUUCUUAUCCUGCUCAAACCCAAGGGCCCCCUUGCUGUUACCGAGAAGGAGGUCCAGCAGUGGUACAAAGGCUUCAUCAAGGACUGCCCCAGUGGGCAGCUGGAUGCGGCAGGCUUCCAGAAGAUCUACAAGCAAUUCUUCCCAUUCGGAG
Molecule: small RNA, 232 nt
Filed under: Pongo abelii (Sumatran orangutan)
Lineage: Eukaryota; Metazoa; Chordata; Mammalia; Primates; Hominidae
Description: processed transcript
Source: RNAcentral